GUGAGUAACACGUGAGCAACCUGCCCCUGACUCUGGGAUAAGCGCUGGAAACGGCGUCUAAUACUGGAUACGAGUAGCGACCGCAUGGUCAGUUACUGGAAAGAAUUUUGGUUGGGGAUGGGCUCGCGGCCUAUCAGCUUGUUGGUGAGGUAAUGGCUCACCAAGGCGUCGACGGGUAGCCGGCCUGAGAGGGUGACCGGCCACACUGGGACUGAGACACGGCCCAGACUCCUACGGGAGGCAGCAGUGGGGAAUAUUGCACAAUGGGCGAAAGCCUGAUGCAGCAACGCCGCGUGAGGGAUGACGGCCUUCGGGUUGUAAACCUCUUUUAGCAGGGAAGAAGCGAAAGUGACGGUACCUGCAGAAAAAGCACCGGCUAACUACGUGCCAGCAGCCGCGGUAAUACGUAGGGUGCAAGCGUUAUCCGGAAUUAUUGGGCGUAAAGAGCUCGUAGGCGGUUUGUCGCGUCUGCUGUGAAAUCCGGAGGCUCAACCUCCGGCCUGCAGUGGGUACGGGCAGACUAGAGUGCGGUAGGGGAGAUUGGAAUUCCUGGUGUAGCGGUGGAAUGCGCAGAUAUCAGGAGGAACACCGAUGGCGAAGGCAGAUCUCUGGGCCGUUACUGACGCUGAGGAGCGAAAGGGUGGGGAGCAAACAGGCUUAGAUACCCUGGUAGUCCACCCCGUAAACGUUGGGAACUAGUUGUGGGGUCCAUUCCACGGAUUCCGUGACGCAGCUAACGCA
This 741-nucleotide ribosomal RNA is filed under the name Microbacterium sp. RNAcentral describes it as "bacterial SSU rRNA". It matches the Rfam family "Bacterial small subunit ribosomal RNA", at positions 106 to 859 of the family's 1533-position model. The record is from RNAcentral. Lineage: Bacteria; Bacillati; Actinomycetota; Actinomycetes; Micrococcales; Microbacteriaceae.